RNAcentral lists this ribosomal RNA (406 nucleotides) under uncultured bacterium. Its description in RNAcentral is "partial 16S ribosomal RNA". It matches the Rfam family "Bacterial small subunit ribosomal RNA", at positions 30 to 526 of the family's 1533-position model. The record is from RNAcentral.
AUUGAACGCUGGCGGCAGGCCUAACACAUGCAAGUCGGGCGUGCCGCGGACUGGUGUGUCAUUUAUUGGGAUCUGCCUGAUGGCGGGGGAUCCCUUCUGGAACCCGUCGCUAAUACCGCAUACCAUCAGUUGCCCCCUUAUGGUAUGAGCUUGUAGGUGGGGUAACGGCUCAACAAGGCGACGAUCCCUAGCUGGUCUGAGAGGCUGAUCAGCCACACUGUGACUGGGACACGGCCCAGACUCCUACGGGAGGCAGCAGUGGGGAAUAUUGCACAAUGGGCGAAAGCCGGAUGCAGCCAUGCCGCGUGUAUGAAGAAGGCCUUCGGGUUGUAAAGUACUUUCAGUCGGGAGGCGUUAGCGAAAGAAGAAGCACCGGCUAACUCCGUGCCAGCAGCCGCGGUAAUAG